UACAGAAUCAGCUCAACUAACUGAGUGUCACAAUCAGACAGUUUAUGAGUUUAUUAAUCAGAAUCAAACACAAUAUCAGAUUAUCAUCAUCAUAUCUGCUCUGAUGAACGGACUUCUGCUCAUUCUGCUGAUAGUUUCUGCUGCUGGAAAAACAGAACAGUUGGAAAAACACAUUCAUAAUGAUGAUCUGCAAACAAAAGUUAUAUAUCGACCAUAAGAACCAAACAAACUGUACCAAUUGUAAUGUAAA
This is a long non-coding RNA of Carassius carassius (crucian carp), 250 nucleotides long. RefSeq lists it as uncharacterized. The transcript has 2 exons. NCBI's taxonomy places the organism in Eukaryota, Metazoa, Chordata, Actinopteri, Cypriniformes, Cyprinidae. The record is from RefSeq and is a predicted model, not a curated record.